Molecule: ribosomal RNA, 736 nt
Filed under: uncultured Glomeromycotina
Lineage: Eukaryota; Fungi; Glomeromycota
Description: eukaryotic LSU rRNA
Rfam family: Eukaryotic large subunit ribosomal RNA
Source: RNAcentral
UGAUUUAGCCUAAAUCUUUUGGGAUAAGGUAUCAAGGAGGGUGAGAAUCCCGUCUGGUUAGAUCAAGAUGCCUUACGAUACGUUUUCUAAGAGUCGAGUUGUUUGGGAAUGCAGCUCAAAAUGGGAGGUAAAUUUCUCCUAAGGCUAAAUAAAGGCGAGAGACCGAUAGCGAACAAGUACCGUGAGGGAAAGAUGAAAAGAACUUUGAAAAGAGAGUUAAACAGUACGUGAAAUUGUUGAAAGGGAAACGAUUGAAGUCAGUCGUACCGACGAGGAAUCAACCUUUUGAGGGUGGAUAUGUGGGAUUCAAAGUGCCUUUGUUUAUCGCAUCAUCUGCUUUUUUUGGGCGUACUUUUUCGUAUGGUAGGUUAACAUCGGUUUUGAUCGUUAUAAAAUGACUGGAGGAAUGUAGCUUUGAUCUUGUAUUGAAGUGUUAUAGCCUUUGGUAGAUGUAACGGUUAGGAUCGAGGAUUGCAAUGGAUACCCUCAUGGGCUAUCCGCCUGGCCUCUGAUUUGUCACUUUGGUGCUGAAAGCGUGCUUAUGGUAUUAAAGUGUACGGUCAAAAGGUUAGAACGGAAUAAAUUCAUUAAGGAUGUUGACGUAAUGGCUUUAAACGACCCGUCUUGAAACACGGACCAAGGAGUCUAACAUAUAUGCGAGUGUUUGGGCGAAAAAACCCUUACGCAUAAUAAAGGUAAUUUAGGUGGGACCCAUUUUAUUGGAGCACCAUCGACC